CGGAAUUGCAUUUGAAACUGGCAGACUAGAGUACUGUAGAGGGGGGUAGAAUUUCAGGUGUAGCGGUGAAAUGCGUAGAGAUCUGAAGGAAUACCGGUGGCGAAGGCGGCCCCCUGGACAGAUACUGACACUCAGAUGCGAAAGCGUGGGGAGCAAACAGGAUUAGAUACCCUGGUAGUCCACGCCGUAAACGAUGUCUACUUGGAGGUUGUGGCCUUGAGCCGUGGCUUUCGGAGCUAACGCGUUAAGUAGACCGCCUGGGGAGUACGGUCGCAAGAUUAAAACUCAAAUGAAUUGACGGGGGCCCGCACAAGCGGUGGAGCAUGUGGUUUAAUUCGAUGCAACGCGAAGAACCUUACCUACUCUUGACAUCCAGAGAACUUUCCAGAGAUGGAUUGGUGCCUUCGGGAACUCUGAGACAGGUGCUGCAUGGCUGUCGUCAGCUCGUGUUGUGAAAUGUUGGGUUAAGUCCCGCAACGAGCGCAACCCUUAUCCUUGUUUGCCAGCGAGUAAUGUCGGGA
Molecule: ribosomal RNA, 521 nt
Filed under: Vibrio parahaemolyticus
Lineage: Bacteria; Pseudomonadati; Pseudomonadota; Gammaproteobacteria; Vibrionales; Vibrionaceae
Description: bacterial SSU rRNA
Rfam family: Bacterial small subunit ribosomal RNA
Source: RNAcentral